This is a long non-coding RNA of Bombus terrestris (buff-tailed bumblebee), 3645 nucleotides long. RefSeq lists it as uncharacterized. The transcript has 6 exons. The record is from RefSeq and is a predicted model, not a curated record. NCBI's taxonomy places the organism in Eukaryota, Metazoa, Arthropoda, Insecta, Hymenoptera, Apidae.
GGUAGAGUAUAAUGAAGAAUCAAACUCUUUGAUGAAACGUCUUUUUACGAUGAACGUUGAUGUGAAUGUGAGAGGUGAACAGACUGAUUAGUGAUUAAGUUAUCACGAUCGUUUCUCCUUUUACCGUUUCUUCUCGUCGCAUGGCGUAAACCGUAAACAUACAUACACGCGCUUCGAUCAAAAUCCACAUCGCAGUGUGGUAUCAAUCUACAAACAUUUUUGUCGAACCAACGGACGACGUCGACUGCUAAGGCAACAAAGUAUGCGCCAUUUACUUACAAAAUCUUACUUAAUUCGAAAAAUUUGAAGCUUGUACGAUUUGGAAAUGCACACUGUUGUCAAAACUAAAAAUUUUAAACGUGAAUACUACGGUCGAAUGAUAUUUGAUUCAAGUUCGACAUGUAAAUAUGAACCAAGAACGAAACACGCAAUACGCGUCAAGUCGGUAUAAUAACGCGACAAAAACACGUAAGUACCAUUUUGGUCCGCUUCAGAGAGACGCGGCGCCGCGUAUCUGUAUGCCAGUGACGGGGAUGACUAGUACUGUACUGUACGUUAUGGGGCCGCUGAUACUCCGUCUAUAAUUCAUCGGUGUUCGAAUGCCAAUCACCAUUCACGCACAAAUCACUUAAUAGAAGACCGAGCUUCGUUCGUUCGCAGAUGUUGACAGCGACCGCAAAUCGUAUAAAGAGUCAUAAUGCGAAAGCAAAUUUUGACAACUAAUUCUUCGCAUCGCAGUUUUUUUUUUCGAGGUGAAACGCAGUGAAACGAAGAUAGAAAAGCUACUUCUCCGCCGAUUUCGAUAAUUUGUGAAUUCUGUUUAUAUAUGAUGACACAAGACAUAUGGAACCCCUUUCGGAAACUGACUGUAUACCUAAAAACAAUGAAAACAGUUCAUAUAAAUAUAAGGAAUUUUCUGUUGUGAUUUCGUGUUAUCUGAUCACAUUUACAGAAGAUGCUCAAAAUGGCCAACUUAUAUUUCGAGAUUCGAAUGUCAUAAAAUUAAAACAGCAAGGAUAGGGACGUCAAGUCGAUGUAACUUUCGACCAUCGCCACCUUCAACGACGUUCUUGUAACCGACGAUUGACUGUAGGAGAUUGAAUGGAAACGGUGCCUAUAGGUAAAUGACUUCCGUAAUCAGAGGCCAUUUCACAAUUUUCCUGUACCGAGGUGCAAUUUAUCUAGUGAAUGUAUUAUUUUCAGCCACUCACUGAUCACUAAUCACUAGUAUUUUAAAUUCACAAACCGUAUAUUACUAUGGAAUCACUUCGACAAUUAACCGAAUGCACAGAACUUGUGGAAAAAAGAGAGAAUUACUAUUUAGUUAGUAUUAUUAUUUAAUAGAAUAAAGUAUUAUUCCAUUAAAAUCUAUGAAAUUCUGUUUACGAUCAGUAUGCACAAAUCUGUGUUAUAUUAAUCUGCGCUAUAAUUUAUCCUUGUUGUUGAUAUCACUAGUGAACAAUUUGAUUUAACUAAAGUCAUGACGAAUUAUUUAAUCAAACAUAACGAAUACUGGGUAAUAGGAUGGGAAGGUAAUAUGAAGGAAGAUGGCUACAGAUAACAAGGACAACUUGAGACGAGGCGACGCGCGACGAAAGAAAGACAUAAUCCGGAUUACGCUUUCGUUUCGAGGAUGGUAGAUUCUUAAUUAUCGGAUUUGAAAGUAUAUGAGUAUGUAUGUAUAUAUGCUAGUUGAGUCUGAUGGAACUGGGACUCAAUUAAAAAUUACAUGGUCCUGGAUUAGAAUUUCAAUAAAGUUUCAAAUUACUGUUCAGCCACCCAGAUACAGAAACGAUUAUAUGUACUUACUAUGUAUACGUAUAUAUAUAGCAAAUAUCGUAAAGAAGAAAGAAAAGUAACAUGACCGAAAGAAAAGUCAAUUUUUCAAGAAAUUGAUCUCAAGUAGAAAAUGUAUCAAUUAAAUUAAUCAACCAUUUAACAGUGAAAAAUCUAUUUUCCUUUACGAUUUAGCUGAAAAGUUUUGAAUUUCGGGGGUCUAAUAAAAUAUCGUUUACGUGCAUUGUUUAAUAUUAAGGAAAUGAUUAAAAUAUAUAUUACUCUCUAUGUAUUAUAUAAUCGUAAUUUUAUAUAAUCGUAUUUUUACCCAUCAUUCGUAAGACUCGCGUAAGGACUUAAUGGCUAAUAUGUACAUUAAUUUUCUCCGGUUAAAAGUACUCGAAACUUUCAGACUACAAAUUCAGAUAUAUUCCCUAGUCUGCCAUAACAAGAAAACUAACAACGAAUCAACCAUUUUUCCAACCAUUCCAUUUGUUUUAAGCGAUGUUUAACGUGGUUAUUGAAAGAAUUAAUGGUUUGCAUAGUUAAUGUGAUUAAGAACGAGUCGUAAAUUAUCAAAACGAUCAAACAGUAUUGUAUAACAAAUUAUUCCUGAUUUUACACAUGUGCGCAGAUUGUACAAAGUAAAUAUCCGUGAUUUCAUUAGUCAUGAUAAAGAGAAAAAGCAGAAUUUUUACGCUUUUAGAUUUUUUCAUCUUUUUCAAUUUUCAAGAACAAUGAACAUAUAUGUGUAUACGUGUAUGCACAGUAAAGAGCACAACUGAAACAUUGUUAAGAAAUUUUGUAUGAAUCGUUAUUUAUCGUUUACUUUUUAUAAACACUUACAUAGAACUGUCCAACUUGGAUAAAAGGAUAAUUGAUUUCUCUCCUAAAAUAAUAAAUAUAUUAUUAAGGAUAUAAGGACGACCGAUAAUAUUAUCACCGCAAGACGAACGAAGAAUUGUGUGUCUUAUCACAUCUGAUAAUGUUUCAUCUAUCAGUAUAGCUGCAAAAUUAUUGAAACAACAGGAAUACGGAUAAACAAAUGGACAGCUUGAAGAAUUUUUAUAAUGAAAAAGCUGAUUUUAAAACUAUUGAAAGAAAGAAGAAGUCAAUGUUGUCGAAGAAAAAUAUCAAACUUCAUUUGUCAUUUGCCAAAAAAUAUCAAAAUUGGACAAUUGCUGAUUGGGAACGUGUAAUUUGAUCGCACGAAACAAAAGUUAACAGAAUUUUCUCCGACAGAAUCUCGUGGUACUAAAUUCGCAGAGGCGAAUCUCUCAAACCACGAUAUGUGAAGCAAACGGCAAAAUAUGAAGGUGGUUCCAUUAUAUUCUGAGAGAGCUUUAUAGCUUUUGGCGUUGAUUCACAUUACAUCGAAUUAGUGGUAUUAUGAACCAAUACACAUACAAAGAUAGUUUGCAGCAGUGCCGUUUACAUACUGUUGAGAAUAUGCCAAUUGCUGAAUAAUGUGUAAUAUUCCAACAUGAUCGAGAUUCGAAGCAUACAACCACAAGCGUACAAGAGUGGCUUAAAGACGCAAAAAUUUUUGGCGUCGGAAUGUUCCGCUCCAAGCCCCAAUCUCAACCCAAUUGAGAAUCUAUGGUGAUUAUUGAAGAGGCGUCUGCGAAUACGAUGUACCGUCGACGUCAAUUACAAAAUUAGAAAACAGAAUUUAGAAACACUGGAAAAAAUAUCUUCAGAAUAUCAUGAAACAAUAGAGCAUUCUAAGACAAAUUAAUUAAUAUAUUAAUGUUGUUCUAAAAGCGAAAGGAGUAUGGGCAGGAUAUCGAGAAUGUAUUUAUUCUGAAAUCAUCAUUAAAAAGUUCCGCCUGGGCAGGCGACCUAAACGGACGUGCGAAACAGUGCUCC